AAUAGCGAUAGAAAGGAAAUAAUUAAGUAAUUAGAAGAAAAACGCUUCUCUUCGUGAGUGGGAAAUGUAUAAUUGUGCCCAAAUUGUAGAAAAUGUCAGUAGAUAGGCUACGCAAGAAAAACAACACUUGCAUAUGCAGACAUGCUGGAAACACAGAUCCUGUUCAGGGUUCGCGCUGCACUUUCCAUUCGCUCUCAGCCCUGUGAUGAAGUUCUGCUCUUCCCUCACACCUUCACAUCCUGUGGAUGGAAUAAGAGGCUUUCAAACGACGAUGCCCCGUGCAUCUCCAGCAAACAAGUCGUGGAAGGAUUUCGUGGAUGUGAUUUCUAAUCGAGGAUGCUCGUUUAUCCGUUUCACAUCCAGAUGAGCGGUUUUUCGAUGCCAUGAGGAGUCCAAGGGGAAUAGGCAGCUGGAGCUCGGAGUCGCCCGCAGGAGGAAGCGGAGGCAGCGCUGCCUCAUGAGGCUGAUGCAACAUGAGGGAUGGAAGACAAAUGAAGGAUGCUACAGGAAUCAUGGGAGAGAUGAGAUCUAGAUUCUUUCAUAUCACUUUAGUGAUAGUGAAAACAUCAAUCAGAGAAGAAGAUGGUUCAGUCAAAUGGUAAAAAAAUA
This is a long non-coding RNA of Carassius carassius (crucian carp), 609 nucleotides long. RefSeq lists it as uncharacterized. The record is from RefSeq and is a predicted model, not a curated record. The transcript has 4 exons. NCBI's taxonomy places the organism in Eukaryota, Metazoa, Chordata, Actinopteri, Cypriniformes, Cyprinidae.